GAGUUUGAUCUUGGCUCAGGAUGAACGCUAGCUACAGGCUUAACACAUGCAAGUCGAACGGAACUUACCGAAUGAAGUUUUCGGAUGGAUUUUGAUAAGUUUAGUGGCGGACGGGUGAGUAACGCGUGAGUAACCUGCCUUCAAGAGGGGAAUAACGUUCUGAAAAGAACGCUAAUACCGCAUAACAUACGGAUGUCGCAUGGCAACCGUAUCAAAGAUUUUACGCUUGAAGAUGGACUCGCGUCCGAUUAGCCAGUUG
RNAcentral lists this ribosomal RNA (259 nucleotides) under uncultured bacterium. RNAcentral's name for it is "partial 16S ribosomal RNA". It matches the Rfam family "Bacterial small subunit ribosomal RNA", at positions 9 to 251 of the family's 1533-position model. The record is from RNAcentral.